Molecule: ribosomal RNA, 967 nt
Filed under: Acinetobacter sp.
Lineage: Bacteria; Pseudomonadati; Pseudomonadota; Gammaproteobacteria; Moraxellales; Moraxellaceae
Description: bacterial SSU rRNA
Rfam family: Bacterial small subunit ribosomal RNA
Source: RNAcentral
CAUGCAAGUCGAGCGGGGGGAGGUAGCUUGCUACCUAACCUAGCGGCGGACGGGUGAGUAAUGCUUAGGAAUCUGCCUAUUAGUGGGGGACAACAUUUCGAAAGGGAUGCUAAUACCGCAUACGCCCUAAGGGGGAAAGCAGGGGAUCUUCGGACCUUGCGCUAAUAGAUGAGCCUAAGUCGGAUUAGCUAGUUGGUGGGGUAAAGGCCUACCAAGGCGACGAUCUGUAGCGGGUCUGAGAGGAUGAUCCGCCACACUGGGACUGAGACACGGCCCAGACUCCUACGGGAGGCAGCAGUGGGGAAUAUUGGACAAUGGGGGGAACCCUGAUCCAGCCAUGCCGCGUGUGUGAAGAAGGCCUUUUGGUUGUAAAGCACUUUAAGCGAGGAGGAGGCUACCGAGAUUAAUACUCUUGGAUAGUGGACGUUACUCGCAGAAUAAGCACCGGCUAACUCUGUGCCAGCAGCCGCGGUAAUACAGAGGGUGCGAGCGUUAAUCGGAUUUACUGGGCGUAAAGCGUGCGUAGGCGGCUUUUUAAGUCGGAUGUGAAAUCCCCGAGCUUAACUUGGGAAUUGCAUUCGAUACUGGGAAGCUAGAGUAUGGGAGAGGAUGGUAGAAUUCCAGGUGUAGCGGUGAAAUGCGUAGAGAUCUGGAGGAAUACCGAUGGCGAAGGCAGCCAUCUGGCCUAAUACUGACGCUGAGGUACGAAAGCAUGGGGAGCAAACAGGAUUAGAUACCCUGGUAGUCCAUGCCGUAAACGAUGUCUACUAGCCGUUGGGGCCUUUGAGGCUUUAGUGGCGCAGCUAACGCGAUAAGUAGACCGCCUGGGGAGUACGGUCGCAAGACUAAAACUCAAAUGAAUUGACGGGGGCCCGCACAAGCGGUGGAGCAUGUGGUUUAAUUCGAUGCAACGCGAAGAACCUUACCUGGUCUUGACAUAGUAAGAACUUUCCAGAGAUGGGAUUGG